Molecule: long non-coding RNA, 931 nt
Filed under: Triticum aestivum (bread wheat)
Lineage: Eukaryota; Viridiplantae; Streptophyta; Magnoliopsida; Poales; Poaceae
Description: long non-coding RNA (TAES_LNC007325)
Source: RNAcentral
GAUUCCAUGGUGAUGAAGGUCAGUGUUGCCGACGACCCCCAUGCAGUUCAUAAGGGCCUUUUUCAUCUUCUUUUUGGAUUUUAGACGUGCAGUGCAGCCGGAUCCCAUGAGCAGUGCGCCCGGCGCCCUCGUGUGGUUCAUCCACUGCCACCGGGGAUUCCCUCCCUUCCCUAACCUCUCUACACAACAGACGAGCUGCUCUUUUGUCGCUCAUGGGCGCGCGCCUGACGGGGCUGCUACUAGUCCGAGCUACCACCACCUCUCAUCCCGACGACAACUACCUAUGUUUCGAGACGCCUCACCUUGAGCUCAGUCUGGGUGUUUGUGGUGCAGUCUAGCCACAGUGGACAUGUAGUUCCGUGCUCAUGUUGGUGCAGGUCGUGGGCGCACCAGCGACGACGACAGCAACACCUUGAUCUCCGGCAUAGUUUGUGGACUGCAGGUUUAAUGCAAUGUUUGCUGAGUUCAAUGCAAUGUCAGGGUGUGGAGUGCAGGUUCUUUGAGUGGCAUGAUGAUCCAAAUACUUCAUUUCUGAAUUCCCUGCUCAGUAAAUUGCGUGAUACUAUGUAUUGUCUGAAAACAGAGAAGAAACAGUUGGAGGAAUCUCGAAUCCAAGUUGAAGCUCGCAUGAACAAGGCUAUAGAUGUGGAGAUGGGCACGCGACAGAAGUAGAAGAAAUUCAUAUGAAAUUGGAAAGAUUUAGAGAGAUGUAUCAGUCUAUUGAGAAAGAUGUGCCAGUAUGUCCAGACAUAUUUGUAUGUUCAGAAAAUUGAAUAAUUUAGAAAUGUUUGUGGAGUUCAAAAACUUCUAUGUUACUGCUUGUUUGUAAGCAACUCAUUUUGUCCAAUACUAGGUGUUUUUAAGCAAUUUCAUUUCGUUCAGUGCUGGCUUACAAAGUACAAUUUUUUUGCUAUCUGAUUUGCUAUUUGAC